ACAAAAAAAAAAAUAGGCUUGAGAAGCGAAGCUGAGGCAGCUUUUACACAUACCAAAUGACCCCUGAAGCUCGUCUUCUUGGACGAGACCAACCUCACACCAUUCCCCCUUCAUCAAGCUCACACAAACACGACCAGUUGCAGAACAACCAUUAAUCUGUUUAAAGUCAAUCCGAACUCCAGCCAAUAACCAGUCCAAACGUUCAAGCUCUGUUUCAGCGAUGUAAAGCCAUCGGAGCUUGGUGAGUUUCUUGAGUCGGCUUUGAGUUUCCGGCGAUUUAGUUGAGUUUCUGGUCGAGUACUUGUUUGCUCGCCGAUUCGAGUUGAAGUCUCCAUUCGAGAGUCAUGGUGUCGAUGAAUUCUGUCCGAGGUCCGAUUCGCACUUCUGCUGAUUUUUUCCGGUUGAUAAUCGAUAUUUGUUGUUGAAAGCUUUCGCUCUUCAUUUGGAUAAAAAUGUAAUCCCGAAGUUCCUCUAGUCUGAAUGAAACUUUUGCCAUGAAGGUCCAUCUCUUCAUUCUCUUAUUACUCCUUUAAUUUGGUGAUAUAAAAUAAGAUAUUGAGUUUUGGUUUAUAUUGCAUUAAACAUGAAAUCUCUACUAUUGCUGUUGUUGCAUUUUCAGCUGGAACCUGUUAGUUUUACUUUGAUUGUGGUGGUGAAUGAACAUAUUAUUUUAUAUGUUUAGGAAAGCUUCACUAAGUUCUUUUAUCUUGAAUAUUCAUUUUGUUUGCGGUUGAGAUGUAAUCUUUUGUUAGGUAUGUCCUAAUUCAAUUUGCCAAAAUUACUUACGGUGUAGAUAGUUAAAUACUAUUCUCACGUUUUCAGACUCUCGUGCACAUAUUAAAAAUGAUUCUUGUGAACUUAUGUUUAGUGCAAGACAGUUUGGAAUUACUUUACGCUUAAUUGUUUAAUUCAUGUCUAAAUGUGUGGAAUGAAUUCUAUUAGCUUGAGUACUGUAUUUAUGAGAUUAAAAAAACUUUUUCUCAAUUUACCUCAAACGCCUCGUUGACAUAUAUCAUGCUAUUAUGUGUGAAUUAAUAAGAUCAUGCUCAUUAUAGAACGUAGUUUGCUUUAGUCAUGUGAUCGUGGAUACGUUCGCAUGAUACGAUUACGAUUUCUAAAAAAACAAAAUUGGAGUAUGCGUUCGCGCAACUUCGGUUAAACUUUCUUAAUAGUAAUAAAACAUUAUUAAUUGUGGACAUGUUCGCGUGACAUGAUUUUUAGCGCGCCAAACAAAUUGGUAUACGUAUGCGUAACCCGUUUCAAGAUAUUUUUUUUUUAAUUUAAAGAGGCAAAAAAAGCAAAAGUACAUAGGUCCCGAAAUCAAUAAUUAAAUUUUAAUAAGCCAAGUAUGAUCAAAGCGACCAUGCUAGAACAACGGAACUCGGGAAUGCCUAACACCUUCUCCCGGAUUAACAGAAUUCCUUACCCAGAUUUCUGUGUUCGAAGACCGUAAUUAGUGUCAAAUUUCCUCAAUUCAGGAUUUUAAACCGGUGACUUGUGACACCAUAAAUUAUUCCAAGUGGCGACUCUAAUUUUUAAUAAAAUGAUCCCAUUCCGAUCGUCACUUCAAGUUGGAAAAUAACUCCCUUUAUUAUACCCUUUCGGUGGUGUAGUAAGUGAAAAAGGAGGUGUGACAAAUGGUUCUCAUAAUUAAUAUUAAAAAGGGGCUUGAUCCUAGGACCUUGUUUCUUAGGUGCGACUAUAAAUAGUGAGCUCUAUUAUCAUUGUAAAGGGGAUGAAUUUCCUGGCAAAUGUACUGUAACGAAAUGGCUAGUUGUUUCAUGAGUUACAAUCCCUUUUCCCCCAUUUAUGCUUCUUUAUGUGUUGUUCAGCUGCAUUUGGUCAUAUCAUGUUGGUUGGUUUGGGUUUGGAGUGGUCUUGAAGUGGAAUGGGACACUUAGUCUCUAAUUUAGAAGUUUAAGUCGGAAAAGUCAAUAGGAUAUUGACUUAUAUAUAGAAGAUCUCAGAUGUGAUUUGUGAUGGUUCGGAUAGCUCCGCUAGGUGAUUUUGGUCUUAGAAGCGUGUUCGGAAUGUAAUUUAGAGGUCCGUGGUAGAAUUAGACUUGAAUUGGCGAUAUUGAAAAUUUGGAGUUUUCCAGUUGGUAGUGGAAAUCUUUAUAUUGGGGUCGGAAUGGAAUUUCAAGAGAUGGAGUUGGUCCGUAAUGUCAUUUUUAACGUCUGUCCAAAAUUUCAGGUCAUUCGGAGGUGAUUUGAUAGGUUUCAGUGCUGUUUGUGGAAUUUAAAAGUUUUUAAGUUCUUAGGCUUGAAUCCGAGGUUUAUUUGGUCUUUUGCUAUUGUUUUGAGUGAUUCGAAGGCUCGAAUAAGUUUGAAUGUUGUUAUGGGAUGUGUUGGCAUAUUUGGUUGAGUUCCCGGGGGCUUCGGGUGAGUUUUUCGCUGGCUAACAGACCGAUGCUUGAUUUUGGAAGUUGACAAAUUUUCUGGUAUUUUGUUGCAGGGAAUUCCUUCAUCGCGUUCGCGAGAGGGCUCUCGCGUUCGCAAAGAGAUGUUAAGAGGGGCAACUGGGUUGUUCUUCGCGUUCGUGAUGUAGUCUCGCAUUCAUGAAGAUUCAUUAGUUUAAGGCUACGCAUUCACGACCAGUGCAUCGCGUUCGCGUAGAGUCUACGGUUAUUUGGAGCUUUAGGCUAAUAACCCUACGCGUUCGCAUGGUGUAUUCUGCAUUUGCAUAAGGUCAAGCAAAGUGGUCCUCGCAUUCGAGAGUGGGUCCUUGCAUUCAUGAAGAAGGGGCUUUUGGUCUGAGGCAGCUUGUGCUUUCCAAACGCGAGGGUACUACCGCGUUCGCAAAGAGGGAGUCAUCUGGGCGGAAUGUUUAAGUUCAAAAAUGAGGGUUUGAGUUCAUAAUUUCAAAAUUCAAUAGAGAGCUCGGGAGAAGGCGAUUUUAGAGGGAAUUUUCAGUGUAGUGAUUAAGGUAAGUGUUCCUCAUGUGUUUUUGGUUAAAUUCCAUGAUUGUGUCUUGAUUUUUCUAACAUCUAAAUUGGGAAUUUGUGGUGAUAAUUAGGAAAAAAGUGGAGGAUAAUUGGAAAGUAAAUUUUAGGUACUUCGAUGACCAUUUGACGUUGGAUUUUGGUGAAUUUGAUAUGGGUAGACUCCUAGUGAAUGUUCUUUUUAGUUUGUGAUUUUUAUCUAAUUCCGAGACGUGGACCCGGGGGUUUGAGCCAAAUUCAAGAUUUUUGGUCUAAUUUGAUGAUUUUCGUGUGUGUUUCAUUUCUUUAGCAUAUAUUGAUGAUAAUAUACUAAUUUUGGUUAGAUUCAGAGCAUUUGGAAGCCGAAUCGAGAGGCAAGGGCAUCUGAGGUUAGAGUUUUGGCUUGGUUUAAGGUAAGUAACGCUUCUUAACUUGGUUUUGAGGGUUCGAAACCCGGAUGUUGUGCUAUAUGAUUUUUACUGAGGUGACACAAAUGCCAAGUGACGGACGAAUGGGCGUGCACCGUAAGAAUUGUGGCCAGGUUCAUUCCAUGGCACCGCUUAAUGACUCUUUCUCGCUGAUAUUUUUGUUGUCAUUAAGUAAAAGAACUAUAAAUCAUGCUAAUUAUCAUGUUAGG
RNAcentral lists this long non-coding RNA (3557 nucleotides) under Nicotiana benthamiana. RNAcentral's name for it is "long non-coding RNA (NBEN_LNC007354)". Lineage: Eukaryota; Viridiplantae; Streptophyta; Magnoliopsida; Solanales; Solanaceae. The record is from RNAcentral.